UGUCUCUGUCUUAUUCCUAAA
This 21-nucleotide non-coding RNA is filed under the name Caenorhabditis elegans. Lineage: Eukaryota; Metazoa; Nematoda; Chromadorea; Rhabditida; Rhabditidae. The record is from RNAcentral.